AUUGAACGCUGGCGGCAUGCCUUACACAUGCAAGUCGAACGGCAGCGCGGGGCAACCUGGCGGCGAGUGGCGAACGGGUGAGUAAUAUAUCGGAACAUACCCUAGAGUGGGGAUAACGUAGUGAAAGUUACGCUAAUACCGCAUACGCACUAAGGUGGAAAGUGGGGGAUUCGCAAGAACCUCAUGCUCAUGGAGUGGCCGAUAUCUGAUUAGCUAGUUGGUGAGGUAAAGGCUCACCAAGGCGACGAUCAGUGGCUGGUUUGAGAGAACGACCAGCCACACUGGAACUGAGACACGGUCCAGACUCCUACGGAGGCAGCAGUGGGGAAUUUUGGACAAAUGGGGGGCAACCCUGAUCCAGCAAUGCCGCGUGAGUG
This 377-nucleotide ribosomal RNA is filed under the name uncultured bacterium. RNAcentral describes it as "bacterial SSU rRNA". It matches the Rfam family "Bacterial small subunit ribosomal RNA", at positions 30 to 407 of the family's 1533-position model. The record is from RNAcentral.